Molecule: ribosomal RNA, 781 nt
Filed under: Bacillus sp. MJ442
Lineage: Bacteria; Bacillati; Bacillota; Bacilli; Caryophanales; Bacillaceae
Description: bacterial SSU rRNA
Rfam family: Bacterial small subunit ribosomal RNA
Source: RNAcentral
GUCGAGCGGACAGAAGGGAGCUUGCUCCCGGAUGUUAGCGGCGGACGGGUGAGUAACACGUGGGUAACCUGCCUGUAAGACUGGGAUAACUCCGGGAAACCGGAGCUAAUACCGGAUAGUUCCUUGAACCGCAUGGUUCAAGGAUGAAAGACGGUUUCGGCUGUCACUUACAGAUGGACCCGCGGCGCAUUAGCUAGUUGGUGGGGUAAUGGCUCACCAAGGCGACGAUGCGUAGCCGACCUGAGAGGGUGAUCGGCCACACUGGGACUGAGACACGGCCCAGACUCCUACGGGAGGCAGCAGUAGGGAAUCUUCCGCAAUGGACGAAAGUCUGACGGAGCAACGCCGCGUGAGUGAUGAAGGUUUUCGGAUCGUAAAGCUCUGUUGUUAGGGAAGAACAAGUGCGAGAGUAACUGCUCGCACCUUGACGGUACCUAACCAGAAAGCCACGGCUAACUACGUGCCAGCAGCCGCGGUAAUACGUAGGUGGCAAGCGUUGUCCGGAAUUAUUGGGCGUAAAGGGCUCGCAGGCGGUUUCUUAAGUCUGAUGUGAAAGCCCCCGGCUCAACCGGGGAGGGUCAUUGGAAACUGGGAAACUUGAGUGCAGAAGAGGAGAGUGGAAUUCCACGUGUAGCGGUGAAAUGCGUAGAGAUGUGGAGGAACACCAGUGGCGAAGGCGACUCUCUGGUCUGUAACUGACGCUGAGGAGCGAAAGCGUGGGGAGCGAACAGGAUUAGAUACCCUGGUAGUCCACGCCGUAAACGAUGAGUGCUAAGUGUUA